Molecule: non-coding RNA, 72 nt
Organism: Culex pipiens (northern house mosquito)
Lineage: Eukaryota; Metazoa; Arthropoda; Insecta; Diptera; Culicidae
Source: Rfam
GGGACCGUGGUGGAAGGGUAAGCGUGGCUGCCUCUCACCCAGUCGCCUUGGGUUCGAUCCCAGACGGUUCCG